CUCUGUGUUUGUGUGUGUGUGUGUGGAUCAAAAAUUAGGCACAAUUCAGUAGAAGUCGGGACUGGAAGUUAGCCAGCUUAAAUUCUUCAGCAAAUUACUGCUCGAUUAACCUUCAUCUUGAAAAAAAGGAUAUCAAUUUACUAUGGAAAUUCGCUGGAAAGAACACAUAAAGAUACUUUUCUUUUAUUUGCACCGGGUGUCCAAGUCUCUACGAGACCGACCAAUCCCGGGGGGUGCACAGGCCCUUGGCGAGGAGUUUCCCGCAAGUGCAUCACGGUUAAUUCAGGUUUUACUCUAUCUGAUGGCUCACAAAAAUUAUUUGCACCCAGUGAUUUCGAACUUGCAAUCAGACCAACCUGAGGGUUCAUAAAGAUACUUUUGUCUUCCACAAAAUAAAGACAUAAAUUUGUUAGGUGAAAGAACAGAAAAAGACACUUUUUUUAGUGCAGACAACUACAUUCAAAUUCCUCAUAAAGUUGAAUUUUGCAAUAUACUUCACAUGUAUCUCAUUAACGUUGUUAAAAGGCUGUGGAUUAUCAAACAAUUCCGCAAGGAAGGCAUCCAAAUUUCACAAGUCACGUUUUACAAUUAAAAACCGAAAAUUGAAAGAAAAAUAUAAUUAAACAACUUCGCAAGGAAGGCAUCAAAAUUUCACAAGUCACGUUUUACAAUUAAAAACCGAAAAUUGAAAUACUUUUGUCUUCCACAAAUUAAAGACAUAAAUUUGUUAGGUGAAAGAACAGAAAAAGACACUUUUUUAGUGCAGACAACUGCAUUCAAAUUCCUCAUAAAGUUGAAUUUUGCAAUAUACUUCACAUGUAUCUCAUUAACGUUGUUAAAAGGCUGUGGAUUAUCAAACAAUUCCGCAAGGAAGGCAUCCAAAUUUCACAAGUCACGUUUUACAAUUAAAAACCGAAAAUUGAAAGAAAAAUAUAAUAUUUCAAUCAGAAAGAGAAGUCCAAAAUUUUCAGAAAACAGCAAAAAACGUUACAGUCGGGAGCAUUAAUUCAUUUUGAAGAAUGCCGGAAAUCAAUGAUAAAAAAACCGUGUUUCUGUACAACGACAUUAGUUUCAAUCAGAAAGCGAAUUCAAAAUUUAACUAUUGAAAAGCGAAAAUCAAAUUGAAAAUAAAAAGAUAAAGGAGCUUCAAUCAGAAGGAGAAGUCCGAAAUAAUCAACCAACAGGCAAAAGCAUUCUUCUGCAACUUCUCAGCUCUCACUGGCGGAAAUCAAUGAUGAACAAAAAACGUGCUUCUACUUAACCGAAGUCGGAAAUUUUCAGUCCGAGUAAUACCUGAAACAAACAUAGCGCGAACGAAAUCCGGAUAAAAUGAAGCAUCAUUGUUCCUAUGGAAGAAAACUCCGCCAUUGCUAAUGGCCUGGAGCUGAGUCCUAAACUCAGAAAACUCCUUUUCUAAAGAUUUUGGUUGCAGUUAUCAACUAUCUUAUAGUCCAAGUCCGUCUUUUCUGUACAGACUAC
Molecule: long non-coding RNA, 1479 nt
Filed under: Nicotiana benthamiana
Lineage: Eukaryota; Viridiplantae; Streptophyta; Magnoliopsida; Solanales; Solanaceae
Description: long non-coding RNA (NBEN_LNC021414)
Source: RNAcentral